UACGGGGGGAGCAAGCGUUGUUCGGAUUUACUGGGCGUAAAGGGCGCGUAGGCGGUAGCACAAGUCAGUUGUGAAAUCUCCGGGCUUAACUCGGAAAGGUCAACUGAUACUGUGCGACUAGAGUGCAGAAGGGGCAACUGGAAUUCUCGGUGUAGCGGUGAAAUGCGUAGAUAUCGAGAGGAACACCUGCGGCGAAGGCGGGUUGCUGGGCUGACACUGACGCUGAGGCGCGAAAGCCAGGGGAGCAAACAGG
This 253-nucleotide ribosomal RNA is filed under the name uncultured bacterium. RNAcentral's name for it is "partial 16S ribosomal RNA". It matches the Rfam family "Bacterial small subunit ribosomal RNA", at positions 524 to 776 of the family's 1533-position model. The record is from RNAcentral.